GAGGAAUAUUGGUCAAUGGACGAGAGUCUGAACCAGCCAAGUAGCGUGAAGGAUGAAGGUUCUAUGGAUUGUAAACUUCUUUUAUACGGGAAUAAACGAAUCCACGCGUGGAUUUUUGCAUGUACCGUAUGAAUAAGGAUCGGCUAACUCCGUGCCAGCAGCCGCGGUAAUACGGAGGAUCCGAGCGUUAUCCGGAUUUAUUGGGUUUAAAGGGAGCGUAGAUGGGUUGUUAAGUCAGUUGUGAAAGUUUGCGGCUCAACCGUAAAAUUGCAAUUGAUACUGGCAGUCUUGAGUACAGUUGAGGUAGGCGGAAUUCGUGGUGUAGCGGUGAAAUGCUUAGAUAUCACGAAGAACUCCGAUUGCGAAGGCAGCUUACUAACCUGUAACUGACAUUGAUGCUCGAAAGUGUGGGUAUCAAACAGGAUUAGAUACCCUGGUAGUCCACACAGUAAACGAUGAAUACUCGCUGUUUGCGAUAUACAGUAAGCGGCCAAGCGAAAGCGUUAAGUAUUCCACCUGGGGAGUACGCCGGCAACGGUGAAACUCAAAGGAAUUGACGGGGGCCCGCACAAGCGGAGGAACAUGUGGUUUAAUUCGAUGAUACGCGAGGAACCUUACCCGGGCUUGAAUUGCAACUGAAUGAUGUGGAGACAUGUCAGCCGCAAGGCAGUUGUGAAGGUGCUGCAUGGUUGUCGUCAGCUCGUGCCGUGAGGUGUCGGCUUAAGUGCCAUAACGAGCGCAACCCUUAUCGAUAGUUACCAUCAGGUUAUGCUGGGGACUCUGUCGAGACUGCCGUCGUAAGAUGUGAGGAAGGUGGGGAUGACGUCAAAUCAGCACGGCCCUUACGUCCGGGGCUACACACGUGUUACAAUGGGGGGUACAGAAGGCAGCUACACGGCGACGUGAUGCUAAUCCCGAAAGCCUCUCUCAGUUCGGAUUGGAGUCUGCAACCCGACUCCAUGAAGCUGGAUUCGCUAGUAAUCGCGCAUCAGCCACGGCGCGGUGAAUACGUUCCCG
RNAcentral lists this ribosomal RNA (1017 nucleotides) under uncultured organism. RNAcentral describes it as "bacterial SSU rRNA". It matches the Rfam family "Bacterial small subunit ribosomal RNA", at positions 356 to 1376 of the family's 1533-position model. The record is from RNAcentral.